RNAcentral lists this long non-coding RNA (306 nucleotides) under Cucumis sativus (cucumber). RNAcentral describes it as "long non-coding RNA (CSAT_LNC001145)". Lineage: Eukaryota; Viridiplantae; Streptophyta; Magnoliopsida; Cucurbitales; Cucurbitaceae. The record is from RNAcentral.
UGAUAUCUCAAUUUUACUCAAACGGGUGACUAAAAAUGGGAGAGGAUGAGAAACAGCAUGGGGAAGUUCAUGUAGUAGUAGUGGCAUGUCCAACCCAAGGCCACCUUAAUCCACUCCUACAAUUCGCCAAAUACCUAGCACAUCAAGGCAUCCAUGUCACCAUCCCCCUCACCUUAGCAAAUCCCAUUUCUUCUUCUUUUUCCCGUAAUAACAAUAACUUUCCAUUCAUUAACCUUCAACGAGUUUCUCUUUUACCAUACAAUGGAACUGAACCUGAAAGUUCCAUGGGCCUUUGGGGAAGACGCC